AUCCAUCUGCAGCAUAAACGCCUUCUCAUGUCCAGAUGUGUUAUCUACUGACCUCUACACUCAACCAGCUCUUUUUCAGAAUUGGCUUCAAUCUUCCAGGAAGAAUCCAGAAAAUGAAUGAACCCGAGCCGCACUGCUGUACGUGAUUACAGAGGCAGUAUGUCACUGGUUUUUGAUCCAGGCUUCAGAAAUCAGGCCUCAGAAGACAUUACUAAACCAGCUGGACCACACGCCUCCUCUGAUGGAGAUCCGUCAGAUGCAAAGCCAAAACAUUGCACGUUUAAGUUGACAUGUAAGAGAGAACAAAUGAACCCUGGAUCAGCCAGAAGCAGUGUUUGAUCCUGCUGCUGCCUUCAAGUCCUCCUGAUGAACACACAUCUCGUCACAGGUCUCUCUUCACUCUACUGUGUGUAUCCUGAUCCUCUCUACACGUUCAAGCAGAAUCUAUUCAUACACCACACACAGAGGUAAAUCCAGACAUCACCAAAACCGUCACGGCCAACCUUGCGAAGCCUGUCGAAGUUCAAACAGCAGAUUUGGACAGAGCUUAUCCUCGACAGAGCAGCAGAUUUGCAUUUUGAGCCGUAAAGUUUGGGAGGUAAACAUGAUGUUUUCUCGCUGUCGUAAUCCCGUUACACUGACGCUCAGUCACAUUAGUCAUCCUGAGAUAUAGAGGAGUGUCAUGUGAGGAAAACUCAUAUAGCACCCGUGACUAAUCGCUCUAUAGUCAAAACCUCGCUGAAUUCAACAAGCUCGCUCAAUUACACCCUCCGUCAAUGUCAAACCUCAGCUCCUGAUGAAUGCCACGGCUGACGCGCACUUUUACAGAGGAGCUUCACGAAGCAUCGGGACGGCUCUAUCGGCAAACAAAAUCUGGGCAUUUAUUUAUUUAUACAGGUUUAUAUUUUGCUGAUGCACCACAGUCAAGCUCUGAAGGUCUGAGAUGGUUUGAUAUCUAUUUAUAAUCGGCUUCAUUCACAAUCAUGCAACUACAAUCUGGAUUCGCACACGGUGUUGGUGCUGUAAGGAGCUCACAACGUCUGAGAACUAUUAAUAACAGACUUUUAAUAGAUCCAUAAGAGGAAAUAAGACAGGGCAAAGAAACUCAGGAGAACACAGAGCUUAAGAGAACGGAGACAAACGAGAUAAUUAGUAAAACACAGGUGGAAACGAAUGUACUAAUCAGAACAGAAGAAAACAGAAACAUUGACUAGACAUGUUAUACAUAGAAGUGGAUUAAACAUUUAUUGAUAUGCAAUGCAAAUAAAAACAGAUGAAUGCACAUGUGUCUCUAGGGUUAUAUUUGAAACAAUACAAUGUAUGGGUCAAAAUUAUCGAUUUUUCUUUCAUGCAAUAAAUCAAAUCAAAUUAAGUAAAGGGUUAUUUUAAUAAUUUCUGCUAUUUUUUUUUUGUUUUGUUGACUAUAUGUGAACAUCGUAUGUCAGACAUCUUACUUGGGACAGUACUAAAUAAAA
This is a long non-coding RNA of Carassius auratus (goldfish), 1475 nucleotides long. RefSeq lists it as uncharacterized. NCBI's taxonomy places the organism in Eukaryota, Metazoa, Chordata, Actinopteri, Cypriniformes, Cyprinidae. The transcript has 3 exons. The record is from RefSeq and is a predicted model, not a curated record.